UUUGUUUAGUAAUAACUCAUCUAUACUAUAUAAAAAUUGAGGCUAUUUGCUUCUAAAGCCGUCCACCUAAGCUUUUAAACGACGAAUCGGGAAUUACCACGUCAAUAGUUAACAUAUUUAACAUCUUAUU
RNAcentral lists this small RNA (130 nucleotides) under Arabidopsis thaliana (thale cress). RNAcentral describes it as "ATSL172000". Lineage: Eukaryota; Viridiplantae; Streptophyta; Magnoliopsida; Brassicales; Brassicaceae. The record is from RNAcentral.